RNAcentral lists this ribosomal RNA (420 nucleotides) under uncultured bacterium. RNAcentral's name for it is "bacterial SSU rRNA". It matches the Rfam family "Bacterial small subunit ribosomal RNA", at positions 356 to 773 of the family's 1533-position model. The record is from RNAcentral.
AAGGAAUAUUGGUCAAUGCCCGCAAGGGUGAACCAGCCAUUCCGCGUGGAGGAUGAAGGCCCUAUGGGUUGUAAACUUCUUUUAGAUGGGAAGAAAAUGCUAGAUGUAUCUGGUACUGACGGUACCAUCAGAAUAAGCACCGGCUAACUCCGUGCCAGCAGCCGCGGUAAUACGGAGGGUGCGAGCGUUAUCCGGAAUUACUGGGUUUAAAGGGUGCGUAGGCGGAUGAUUAAGUCUAAGGUGAAAGUUUGUCGCUUAACGAUAAAAUUGCCUUGGAUACUGGUUAUCUUGAAUAAGGAUGAGGAUGGCGGAAUGUGGCAUGUAGCGGUGAAAUGCAUAGAUAUGCCAUAGAACACCAAUUGCGAAGGCAGCUAUCUGGUCUUUUAUUGACGCUGAGGCACGAAAGCGUGGGGAUCGGAC